This 307-nucleotide long non-coding RNA is filed under the name Homo sapiens (human). RNAcentral describes it as "non-protein coding LINC01606:4". The record is from RNAcentral. Lineage: Eukaryota; Metazoa; Chordata; Mammalia; Primates; Hominidae.
GGCAGUCAGAGGCAGGGGAGCUGUCACUCGCGGCGAGCCGGGCGGCGGCCAGGGCGCAAAGUUGAGAGCAGUCUCUAGUCUGAGCCUUUCAGUCGCCUUCCAGUAUCAUCAGUACCACGGGCUCCACCUUGCUGCGGCCCCUCAGCAACCCAGUGCACCUGCCACUCGACCAGAGGGAAAGCAGUCAGGAGUGGGAGGCCUCUGAACAAGCUGUAUUUUGUGUAGCCGCCAGCUUCCAUCUUUCUCCAGGCAGAACGCUGGCCCUCAGCACAUCUUUCUGCUUCCCCUCGGUCAGACCACCGAGAAC